AUUCAGAUAAUGAGUCCCAUACAGGACGAAAUGCGCAUCCUGACUGGAU
This 49-nucleotide non-coding RNA is filed under the name Trichobilharzia regenti. Lineage: Eukaryota; Metazoa; Platyhelminthes; Trematoda; Strigeidida; Schistosomatidae. The record is from RNAcentral.